UAGGGAAUCUUCCACAAUGGACGCAAGUCUGAUGGAGCAACGCCGCGUGAGUGAAGAAGGCUUUCGGGUCGUAAAACUCUGUUAUUGAAGAAGAACGUGUGUGACAGUAACUGGUCAUGCAGUGACGGUAUUCAAUCAGAAAGUCACGGCUAACUACGUGCCAGCAGCCGCGGUAAUACGUAGGUGGCAAGCGUUGUCCGGAUUUAUUGGGCGUAAAGCGAGUGCAGGCGGUCUUUUAAGUCUGAUGUGAAAGCCUUCGGCUUAACCGAAGAAGGGCAUCGGAAACUGGGAG
RNAcentral lists this ribosomal RNA (292 nucleotides) under uncultured bacterium. Its description in RNAcentral is "partial 16S ribosomal RNA". It matches the Rfam family "Bacterial small subunit ribosomal RNA", at positions 355 to 639 of the family's 1533-position model. The record is from RNAcentral.